ACUUAGCGGCGGACGGGUGAGUAACGCGUGGGUAACCUGCCUUACACUGGGGGAUAACAGUUAGAAAUGACUGCUAAUACCGCAUAAGCGCACAGGGCCGCAUGGUCUGGUGUGAAAAACUCCGGUGGUGUGAGAUGGACCCGCGUCUGAUUAGGUAGUUGGUGGGGUAACGGCCCACCAAGCCGACGAUCAGUAGCCGACCUGAGAGGGUGACCGGCCACAUUGGGACUGAGACACGGCCCAAACUCCUACGGGAGGCAGCAUG
This 265-nucleotide ribosomal RNA is filed under the name uncultured bacterium. Its description in RNAcentral is "partial 16S ribosomal RNA". It matches the Rfam family "Bacterial small subunit ribosomal RNA", at positions 90 to 353 of the family's 1533-position model. The record is from RNAcentral.